RNAcentral lists this ribosomal RNA (253 nucleotides) under uncultured bacterium. RNAcentral's name for it is "partial 16S ribosomal RNA". It matches the Rfam family "Bacterial small subunit ribosomal RNA", at positions 524 to 776 of the family's 1533-position model. The record is from RNAcentral.
UCCGUAGGGUGCAAGCGUUAAUCGGGAUUACUGGGCGUAAAGCGUGCGCAGGCGGUUUUGUAAGUCAGAUGUGAAAUCCCCGGGCUUAACCUGGGAACUGCGUUUGAAACUACAAGGCUAGAGUGUGGCAGAGGGGGGUGGAAUUCCACGUGUAGCAGUGAAAUGCGUAGAGAUGUGGAGGAACACCGAUGGCGAAGGCAGCCCCCUGGGUUAACACUGACGCUCAGGCACGAAAGCGUGGGGAGCAAACAGG